GCCGGGUGCGGUGGCAUGUGCCUGUAAUCCAAGUCACUGGGAGGCUGAGGUUGGUGGAUCAAGUGAGCUGAGGAGCUCUGGGCUGCAGCACUCUAUGUCGAACGGGUGUCCACGCUAAGUUCGGUAUCGAUAUGGUGUUCCUGGGGGAGCCCGGGACCACCAGGUUGUCUAAGGAGGGGUGAACCGGCCCAGGUCGGAAACGAAGCAGGUCAAAUCCCCUGUGCUGUCCAGUAGUGGGAUAAUACCUGUGAGUAGAUGCUGCAGUGCAGCCUUGGCAAAACAUCGAGACCUAAUCUUUU
Molecule: unclassified non-coding RNA, 299 nt
Organism: Oncorhynchus mykiss (rainbow trout)
Lineage: Eukaryota; Metazoa; Chordata; Actinopteri; Salmoniformes; Salmonidae
Rfam family: Metazoan signal recognition particle RNA
About the family: The signal recognition particle (SRP) is a universally conserved ribonucleoprotein. It is involved in the co-translational targeting of proteins to membranes.
Source: Ensembl